GACGAACGCUGGCGGCGUGCCUAACACAUGCAAGUCGAACGGAAAGGCCCUGCUCUUGCGGGGUGCUCGAGUGGCGAACGGGUGAGUAACACGCGAGUAACCCGUCCCUGACUUUGGGAUAACACUAGGAAACUGGGGCUAAUACCGGAUAGGAGCUCCUGCAGCACGGUGGGGGUUGGAAAGUUUCGGCGGUUGGGGAUGUACUCGCGGCUUACCAGCUUGAUGGUGGGGUAGUGGCUUACCAAGGCUUUGACGGCUAGCCGGCCUGAGAGGGUGACCGGCGACAUUGGGACUGAGGUACGGCCCAGACGCCUACGGGAGGCAGCAGUGGGAAGUAUUGCGCAGUGGGCGGAAGCCUGAUGCGGCAACGCCGCGUGCGGGAUGACGGCCUUCGGGUUAUAAACCGCUUUCGCCUGUGACGAAGCGUGAGUGACGGUAAUGGGUAAAGAAGCACCGGCUAACUACGUG
RNAcentral lists this ribosomal RNA (468 nucleotides) under uncultured bacterium. RNAcentral's name for it is "partial 16S ribosomal RNA". It matches the Rfam family "Bacterial small subunit ribosomal RNA", at positions 28 to 507 of the family's 1533-position model. The record is from RNAcentral.